This 253-nucleotide ribosomal RNA is filed under the name uncultured prokaryote. Its description in RNAcentral is "partial 16S ribosomal RNA". It matches the Rfam family "Bacterial small subunit ribosomal RNA", at positions 525 to 777 of the family's 1533-position model. The record is from RNAcentral.
ACAGAGGGGGCAAGCGUUGUUCGGAAUUACUGGGCGUAAAGGGCGCGUAGGCGGCCCGCUAAGUCGAACGUGAAAUCCCCGGGCUCAACCCGGGAACUGCGUCCGAUACUGGCAGGCUUGAAUACGGUAGAGGCAUGUGGUAUUCCAGGUGUAGCGGUGGAAUGCGUAGAUAUCUGGAGGAACACCGGUGGCGAAGGCGGCAUCCUGGACCGGUAUUGACGCUGAGGCGCGAAAGCCAGGGGAGCAAACGGGA